RNAcentral lists this ribosomal RNA (508 nucleotides) under uncultured bacterium. RNAcentral's name for it is "partial 16S ribosomal RNA". It matches the Rfam family "Bacterial small subunit ribosomal RNA", at positions 28 to 507 of the family's 1533-position model. The record is from RNAcentral.
GACGAACGCUGGCGGCGUGCCUAAUACAUGCAAGUCGAACGCUUCUUUCCUCCCGAGUGCUUGCACUCAAUUGGAAAGAGGAGUGGCGGACGGGUGAGUAACACGUGGGUAACCUACCCAUCAGAGGGGGAUGACACUUGGAAACAGGUGCUAAUACCGCAUAACAGUUUAUGCCGCAUGGCAUAAGAGUGAAAGGCGCUUUCGGGUGUCGCUGAUGGAUGGACCCGCGGUGCAUUAGCUAGUUGGUGAGGUAACGGCUCACCAAGGCCACGAUGCAUAGCCGACCGGAGAGGGUGAUCGGCCACACUGGGACUGAGACACGGCCCAGACUCCUACGGGAGGCAGCAGUAGGGAAUCUUCGGCAAUGGACGAAAGUCUGACCGAGCAACGCCGCGUGAGUGAAGAAGGUUUUCGGAUCGUAAAACUCUGUUGUUAGAGAAGAACAAGGACGUUAGUAACUGAACGUCCCCUGACGGUAUCUAACCAGAAAGCCACGGCUAACUACGUG